CCUGAGAAACCCAAAAGUUCGAAUGGGGAGAUUCAUCGUCAGCACAUUUGAUAUGUGUGCAGGUUAUGAUGCAUGUUGUUCUCAAUGUUGCACGUACUUGUAUUACUUUAUUGUCAAGUGUUGUCGGCGUGCACUUCUCCCCUUGUAGGACGUCGCAACCCGUUAAAUGUCAGUUUGUGGCCCGGAUGGGACCCUCUAAUUUUUUUUGAAUUGGAGACCGUGGGGACCUAAUUGGGUGUUUGACGGGAAUUAAAUGGUAUCGGUUGGAAUAAUUUUACGUCAAGCUCGUCACAAGUAUGAUUAAUUUCCCGGCAGCRCGGAUCUGAUGCCGUCGCUGGGRUUGAUCGACUGUUUGUGUGCRAUGRUCUUUGACUGGCUCACUGUUACCGGUUUGCGACGCUACUGCUUUGGUACUUUC
RNAcentral lists this ribosomal RNA (418 nucleotides) under Cenocoelius artensi. Its description in RNAcentral is "eukaryotic LSU rRNA". Lineage: Eukaryota; Metazoa; Arthropoda; Insecta; Hymenoptera; Braconidae. The record is from RNAcentral.